AAUUGAGAAAAGGUUAUUAAGCAAUGACAGCAGAAACCUCAUGCAUUUCAGAAAUUGAACAACCUUACAGAACUUUUAUAAUCAGAGCUCCUAAAUAAUUAAUAAGGACUGCUCUCCAAAAUCAGUUCUUCAAAGAAUGGAGGUAUAAGGAAAGCAAAUGACUAUUUAGCCUAGAGAUAAAUUCUUUCAAACGAAUACGGAACCAUUGAAAUGAAUUUAGUAACUACUAACUUUGUCAGGU
Molecule: unclassified non-coding RNA, 241 nt
Filed under: Hevea brasiliensis (rubber tree)
Lineage: Eukaryota; Viridiplantae; Streptophyta; Magnoliopsida; Malpighiales; Euphorbiaceae
Source: RNAcentral